Molecule: ribosomal RNA, 246 nt
Filed under: uncultured bacterium
Lineage: Bacteria
Description: partial 16S ribosomal RNA
Rfam family: Bacterial small subunit ribosomal RNA
Source: RNAcentral
UACGAAGGGGGCUAGCGUUGCUCGGAAUCACUGGGCGUAAAGGGUGCGUAGGCGGGUCUUUAAGUCAGGGGUGAAAUCCUGGAGCUCAACUCCAGAACUGCCUUUGAUACUGAAGAUCUUGAGUUCGGGAGAGGUGAGUGGAACUGCGAGUGUAGAGGUGAAAAUUCGUAGAUAUUCGCAAGAACACCAGUGGCGAAGGCGGCUCACUGGCCCGAUACUGACGCUGAGGCACGAAAGCGUGGGGAG